CAUAUGUCGCUUUAUCUGAGGGGGGAGCAGAUUCACAAACAGGAAGCGUUGAAUUAACAUCAAGAAAAACCCAUAUUCUUCAUUCACCGUCAUCUCUGGAGGUGGAUGAGACCCUCCAAGAUGCCUGGAUUUUGCCACUUUAUCUUUUGCCUCUGUAUUCUAGGAGGUCUCUUCCACUGCUCUCAUGCUUGGGAAGUUCAGCUACCAAACCACAUCAAUGGACUGCUGGGUUCCUGCCUUGUUAUUCCUUGCAGUUUCAACUACUACCAGUAUCCACCCGAGAGGCCAGAUCGUGUUGUUUGGUACCAGUAUGUAAACCGCGGCUAUCCGCUAGUUUAUGACAACUGGUACCCCAAUGACGUAAUAAGCGCAUUCAGAGGGAAAACAUACGUAUAUACCUCGUGGGCUGGCAAAACCUGCAAAUUGAAGAUUGAGCCAGUGACCUGGGCUCAUCACAGACAGAGAAUUUAUCCAUGGGUGGAUCCGGAGAACGUUGGGAAAAGCACCUACCGAUUCUAUGAUAAAACUGUCACAAUCAAUGUCGAAGCCACGCCAAAUACCCCAGAUAUAUCGAUCUUUGGGGAGAUGAAGGUUGGACGGUCUGUGACGGUUCAGUGCAGUGUUCAUCACACCUGUUCCACCAAACCCCCAUCUAUCAGUCUCAACAUCCCACUGAAAAACCACCGUCUGGAUCAUACCUAUGGGUCUGAUGGCCAGACGACAACAACCUUGAGGACCACCUUGUUGAUAGAGAGAGACCAUCAAACUGUGACCUGCACUGCCCAACACUAUGGUGGCAUCACUGCAACCGGAUUCUACACCUUGAGCGCAGAAUGCUCCGUGUCCCAGCUGACUAUCAGCCCUUCAUCAACUGAAUUUCUUGAGGGAUAUGAAAGCAAAGUAAGCUGCAUAGCAUCAUACACGUGCCCGAAGCAUAACCCGACUCUGAGGUGGAAUUACAACAUGCCAAGCUCCACUGACACUACCAGGGUGUCACAGGAAGCCGGGUGGAGGACGGUCUCCACCCUGACACUAACCCCUUCAGCUAAUGACAAUGGAAGAUAUCUGACGUGUUAUGCAAGAUUCACAGGGCUGCAGAACCAACAAACCAGCAUCACUCUGAGGGUAAAAAGAAACAUUCUGUCUCGUGGUUGGUCCUUCACCACUCCUGGAAGAUUAACAGGAAUGAAGGGAUCAUGUAUGAUCAUUCCCUGUAGAUUCAGCUACAGUCAUUCCCAACCCGCUGACCUUCCUGUUGCAUGGUACUUGUACCAGAGCAGUGGUUAUCCAGCUGUAUUUGUCCAGAGAUCAAGCAACAUUGUUGGUAGGUUUGUUGGGAAAACCAGCUUGGUCGGAUCUGUGCGGGAGAACAACUGCAGCCUGAAGAUUGAAAGACUGGAGCUGUCACACAGCCAUGACCGACUCUUCCCUUGGAUCGAUAAGAACCCCAUCACCUCCUACCACAACAUGGGUCACAGUUUUCUGGACAAAACAACUGAACUCAUUGUUUCGGAUCAAGCGGAGGAACCCCGGCUGAGCGUCAUCGGUAACCUCAGGGUGGGAGAGCAGAGCGCAGUCACCUGCAGUGUGCGCCACACAUGUUUGUCUGCUCCCCCCAGCCUGACCAUCAGCGAUAUACCCGGAACAGACAAAACCACGGACACUCUGGUGUCUGAUGGGAUUUGGGAAAGGAGAGUGGAACGAACCUGGACCGUAGAAGAGCAGAACCAGCGUGUGAAGUGUAGUGUUUCAUACCCUGGAGGUCAGAAAGCCUCAAACAGCCUCCAGCUCAACGUUGAAUGUCCAUACAAUAAAAUCACCAUGGUGGAGCGACCCGACGAGGCAACGGAGGGAGUGGCAAAGAGUGUAAUUUGCACUGUUUCCUACAAGUGUGAGAAAAACAUGCCGACCAUUGUGUGGAACUACAGAGACAUGCAAAGUGAAGAAGACACCAGAAAGAUCUCUGGCAAUUCAUACCGCAUUGUGUCAAAUCUAACUUUUAUUGGCUCUGCGCGUGAAGAUGGGAAACAGCUCACGUGCACUGCUCGGUUUCUGACAGGCCAGACCUCCGACUCUGCCACCAUCCACGUGAAAAGAAAUAUGUUCUUUCGUGGUUGGUCUGCCACCACUCCUCGAAGCAUUACAGGGAUGAAGGGAUCAUGUGUGAUUAUUCCCUGUAGAUUCAGCUACAGUCAUUCCCAACCUGCUGACCCUCCUGUUACAUGGUACUUGUACCAGAGCAGUGGCUACCCAGCUGUAUUCGAUCAGAGAUCAAGCAACAUUGACGUUAAGUUUGUUGGUAAAACCAGCUUGGUCGGAUCUGUGCGUGAAAACAACUGCAGCCUGAAGAUUGAAAGGCUGGAGCUGUCACACAGCCAAGACCGACUCUUCCCCUGGAUCGAUAAGAACCCCAUCACUUCCUAUCACACCAAGGAUCACAAUUUUCAACAUGAUACAACUCAACUUGUUGUUCUGGAUCAAGCGGAGGAACCCCGGCUGAGCGUCAUCGGUAACCUCGGGGUGGGAGAGCAGAGCGCAGUCACCUGCAGUGUGCGCCACACAUGUUUGUCUGCUCCCCCCAGCCUGACCGUCAGCGAUAUACCCGGAACGGACAAAACCACGGACACUCUGGUGUCUGAUGGGAUUUGGGAAAGGAGAGUAGAGCGAACCUGGACCGUAGAAGAGGAGAACCAGGGUGUGAAGUGUAGUGUUUCAUACCCUGGAGGUCAGAAAGCGUCAAGCAGCCUCCAGCUCAACGUUGAAUGUCCGUACGACAAAAUCACCAUGACGGAACGACCUGAUGAGGUACCAGAGGGAGUACCAAAGACUUUAAGUUGCACCGUUUCCCACAAGUGCAAGAAAAACACACCGAAGAUUACGUGGAACUACGGACACAUGCAAACCUCAGUAAACACCAAGAAGAUCUCCAGCUCUUCAUACAGCACUGUGUCAAGUCUGACUUUCACUGGCUCUGCAGAGGACGAUGGGAAAACGUUGACAUGCACUGCUCAGUUUACCACAGGAGACACCUCAGACUCUGCAACCAUCCACAUAAAAAGAAGCAUGCUGUCUCGUGGUUGGUCCUUCACCACUCCUCGAAGCAUUACAGGAAUGAGGGGAUCAUGUAUGAUCAUUCCCUGUAGAUUCAGCUACAGUCAUUCCCAACCCGCUGACCUCCCCGUUACAUGGUACUUGUACCAGAGCAGUGGUUACCCAGCUGUAUUUGACCAGAGAUCAAGCAACAUUGACAUUAAGUUUGUUGGGAAGACCAGCUUGGUCGGAUCUGUGCGGGAGAACAACUGCAGCCUGAAGAUUGAAAGGCUGGAGCUGUCACACAGCCGAGACCGACUCUUCCCCUGGAUCGAUAAGAACCCCAUCACCUCCUACCACAGCACGGGUCACAGUUUUCUGGACAAAACAACUGAACUCAUUGUUUCGGAUCAAGCGGAGGAACCCCGGCUGAGCGUCAUCGGUAACCUCAGGGUGGGAGAGCAGAGCACAGUCGCCUGCAGUGUGCGCCACACCUGUUUGUCUGCUCCCCCCAGCCUGACCAUCAGCGAUAUACCCGGAACAGACAAAACCACGGACACUCUGGUGUCUGAUGGGAUUUGGGAAAGGAGAGUAGAGCGAACCUGGACGGUAGAAGAGGAGAACCAGGGUGUGAGGUGUAGUGUUUCAUACCCUGGAGGUCAGAAAGCCUCAAACCACCUCCAGCUUAAUGUUGAAUGUCCGUACGACAAAAUCACCAUGACGGAGCAGCCGGGCGAAGUGAAGGAGGGAGCGACAAAGACUGUGACCUGUUCUGUUUCUUACAAGUGCAAGAAAAACACACCGAACAUCAAGUGGAACGACAACAAUGAGAAGAGUUCACAGUAUACCACAAAAGUCUAUGCUAGCUCAUACAGAACUGUGUCAACUGUAACUUUCACUGGCUCCGCGGGUGACGAUGGGAAAACGUUGACAUGCACUGCUCAGUUUCUAACAGGGGAGACGUCCGACUCUGCAACCAUUCGCAUAAAAUCUUUCGACGUUCUGGCUGCUGAUGUCCCGAUCAAAUUCAGUGCCCUGACUCGCUCCUGCGUGGUCAUUCCCUGCACUUUCCAAGACGAUGACCAUGUUCCCAUGACUCGAGGCAUCUGGGCCAAAAAAAACGGGGACAUCGUCUACCACAACGGCCAGAGCCAAGUUGUCGAUCACUUUAAGGGCCGAACCAGAAUUCAAGGAAACCUGCAAGAGGGACACUGCAGCUUGGAAAUCGACGACAUCAAGCCCUUCGACAACGGGCCCUUCUGUUUCCAUGCAGAGAAAAGAGACGACAAAUACAAGUUCAACAACAGCUGCGUGUUUGUUCUGAUGAGAGCCUCUCCUGAUGAACCAGCGAUGACUCCAGUCCCAGCAGAGGCGGAUGCCGGUUCGACCCUCACCGUCUCCUGUUCCGUCGCGCACACCUGUCCUUCGCACCCUCCGGUGUUCUCCUGGAGCGUCCCAAACCUCACCAGCGCCGUCUCACACACCAUGACGUCCAGAGGCGUCUGGGAGAUGACUUCCACCAUCUCUUUUGUGGCCGCCGGAGGGGAUGGAGUCCACAGCCUCAACUGCACUGCCACCUUUUGGGGGGGAAAGCAACAAACAAGCGUCGUCAACCUGAGUGUGAAGGGGUCACUAAUGUACCAGGUGAAAAGCGCGGCUCCAGUGUUCGUCCCCGUGUCGCUUCUCGUGCUCGUCAUCAUCAUCUUGUCUGCAGUCAUGGGAGUAUGCAUCUGGAGGAAGAGAAAGAACGCCGAUGGCUCGCUGAAGCCGCCGCCCCGGCCGGAGAAAAGGAGAUCGUUGUGGGAUAGACUGUCCAGACGAUACCCUGACGAGAGGGGCCGACCACCAAGGCCAGAGAAACGAAAGUCUCUGUGGAGCCGAUUUUCCAGGAGGAGUCCAGAUGAUCGUGUUGGUUGGGAGCAAGAGAAGAAGACCAGGAAGUCUUUCUGGAACAGAUUUUCAAGGCGCCAAAACAACACCUCCGAUCUCAGCGUCGCCUUCGUAAACAACACCUCCUCUGUGGUCCUUGACACUCACGGCUCCAAACCUCGCUGUCCAUCCCCAAAACGCAGGAAGUAGGUUCAACAUUAAUUCGUCCAACUUGAGGUCAUUUAUUAAUCAAGGCAGCUUUACCUUGACCACCAUGAAAAGGACUGACCGUCGUGUGGCAACAUUUGAGUUCUGGAAAGACAUCUGAAAACCGGCGCUGACCUCCGUGACUCCGCUUCAGCUUCACACUGGACUAUUUUGUGUGAAAAUUGUAUCUUCAUCUCUUCAUAAGUUUCUUUACAGUAAUCAGAUAAAAUUAGUAUGAAAAAUAUAUACAUCUAACAAUAAACAAAAGGCUUUGGCCACAAAAAAAAAAAAAAAACUUCAUUAUCAUGGCAAUAGAUCAAGCAUAAGUCGGAAUGUUAAUAUUCAUGUGAAUGUAUUCUUGACUUUACUUCUGCUGAGCUUUAUUUCAUCUUCAUUUGCUUCCCUACUUGACUGAAUUUGUGCUCCGAUUACACAUAAACACGCCCAUCGUUAUUUGUUUGCUUCAUGUGGAUGUAGUUGUUCACAAUACUGUCGCGUUGCAAGGUGUGUCAUGAAUGAAUGCAUCAAACUUCAUUAAAGUACAUAAC
This is an RNA transcript of Salarias fasciatus (jewelled blenny), 5654 nucleotides long. RefSeq lists it as uncharacterized. Lineage: Eukaryota; Metazoa; Chordata; Actinopteri; Blenniiformes; Blenniidae. The record is from RefSeq and is a predicted model, not a curated record. The transcript has 28 exons.